This 486-nucleotide ribosomal RNA is filed under the name uncultured bacterium. Its description in RNAcentral is "partial 16S ribosomal RNA". It matches the Rfam family "Bacterial small subunit ribosomal RNA", at positions 30 to 507 of the family's 1533-position model. The record is from RNAcentral.
AUUGAACGCUGGCGGCAUGCCUUACACAUGCAAGUCGAACGGCAGCACGGGUGCUUGCACCUGGUGGCGAGUGGCGAACGGGUGAGUAAUACAUCGGAACAUGUCCUGUAGUGGGGGAUAGCCCGGCGAAAGCCGGAUUAAUACCGCAUACGAUCUACGGAUGAAAGCGGGGGACCUUCGGGCCUCGCGCUAUAGGGUUGGCCGAUGGCUGAUUAGCUAGUUGGUGGGGUAAAGGCCUACCAAGGCGACGAUCAGUAGCUGGUCUGAGAGGACGACCAGCCACACUGGGACUGAGACACGGCCCAGACUCCUACGGGAGGCAGCAGUGGGGAAUUUUGGACAAUGGGCGAAAGCCUGAUCCAGCAAUGCCGCGUGUGUGAAGAAGGCCUUCGGGUUGUAAAGCACUUUUGUCCGGAAAGAAAUCCUUGGCCCUAAUACGGCCGGGGGAUGACGGUACCGGAAGAAUAAGCACCGGCUAACUACGUG